This is a non-coding RNA of Zootermopsis nevadensis, 1593 nucleotides long. Lineage: Eukaryota; Metazoa; Arthropoda; Insecta; Blattodea; Termopsidae. The record is from RefSeq and is a predicted model, not a curated record.
ACUCGAUAUCUUGAAAUAUCGAUUAUUCCGUUACGGGAGUCGAGGUUUAUUCUCAAGUACUUCGUAACUGCGGUAGGUCGCGCUGUCGUCAAGCACGGUCUAGAAAUCUCUGCCCAUGACUCACGAACUAAUUUAUAUCUUCUCCACCAGAGCUGCGCUUUUGAUUGGUCCUCGUGAUGACAAUGCAUGUGACAGGAGUGGUAUUUAUAUGGAUGUUCUACUGUUCGUAUGUUAAACUGACACGUCUCUCCAAAUUGUGGUAUGGUCACGUCACGGAAGGAGGACGCAUUGGAUUCCAACAAUGCAUGUGUUUAAGGACACUACUCGGGUCUUCCCCGUCGCAAUCCGGAACAGACACGUGCGUGAAGUGUUGACGACGCGAAGGGCGCAGUCCCGUUCCACGUGAGAAAUCACUCCAGGAGGAUCACCGUCUCACAUUACGAAUAUCCAGCAACGAUGUGAUGUACUACGAAUUUCAAAAGUUCCGAUCCAAACGGCUACAGCAACUGAAGAGAUUUUCCCAGAUUACAUCCAGACGAUCUCAGAAGCAGCACCUCAGCGCUCUGUAAGACAGUGGUAACAAUGCACACCACUAAUUCCAAUCAUCAGCACGAAAUUACAGCCACAAAGUCAGUUUAAUUUGAUAUUUCAGGCUAUACGUUAAUUUAAAGUUGCCAUCUUCAGACGAAAACGUCUCCCGACAUAGAAAGAAAGUCGAUACCGACAAAUUUCCUUUCUCGCUUUCGAGUCCAAGACCGAAUUGACGUUCUAAUUUAUUUUCCAUGGGAAAUUGAUACUAAAAUCAAAAUUACCUACGCUAAAGUUUAAUACGCCAUUUUAAACAUGGAAGUGUUCAUUCGUAUAAAAAUAUUUUUUCUGCAAGGAAUCAAACAGGAUCAUUAAGAUUUCUCCAGCGUGUAAGCAAUGAGCGAUACUUUGUAAAAGGUACAGUUAGUCUUUCAAUUAUUUUUAAUGUUCAAGAUAAGCUUAACAUCAAAAUGACAAAAAAAAUCAUUUGUUUUCAGCAACUGCUAUACAGUGGACUGAUAAAUUCUACGCACAUUUCAAAGAGAACACUUAAUAUCAAAAACAAAUGUAAUAUUUUGAUUUGCGUCUAUAAAAAUAUUUGUAAUUCCAAACAAAAAAUACGUUCAAAAACCAACAGAGUCCAAUUUCACAUAGACCAGAAUAGACCGUGUGGAGUUCAUGUUUUAAAACGCUGUAACUCUGUAAAACCACGACACUUUCUUUGUAUCAUCGUUAACGAACCGAAUACGAACUGUUAAUCCCUAAUAAAAUUCGCAUUCUCUCACACGGUACAACCACUUCCAAGAUGCAAAAUGGCGGUCAGCGCACACGCCACACUCUCCGACGCAGGCCUUAAGACUACUUAAACACCGAAGCAGGACUACAAAGGCGCCGCCAAUCGGGGGAGUCUGGUAUUGAUUAAGAGGCGUCGCACGCAACCCGCACACCCUAACUGCUGUGCUGUCUAGUGUUGCUCGCAGGCACUUCAGCGACGCUUUAUACGCUACAGAGACAUCAUUAUAAACUGUUAUAUGUAUAAAACGCUAUAAAAGAGAGUUAAAUGCA